RNAcentral lists this ribosomal RNA (490 nucleotides) under uncultured bacterium. RNAcentral's name for it is "partial 16S ribosomal RNA". It matches the Rfam family "Bacterial small subunit ribosomal RNA", at positions 28 to 507 of the family's 1533-position model. The record is from RNAcentral.
GAUGAACGCUAGCUACAGGCUUAACACAUGCAAGUCGCGGGGCAGCAUGGGGGUUGCUUGCAAUCCCCGAUGGCGACCGGCGCACGGGUGAGUAACGCGUAUUCAACCUGCCCUUCACCACGGGAUAACCCGGCGAAAGUCGGACUAAUACCGUAUGUUGUCCAUUGACGGCAUCCGAUUUGGACGAAAGGCUUGGCGGUGAGGGAUGGGGAUGCGGCCGAUUAGCCAGACGGCGGGGUAACGGCCCACCGUGGCUACGAUCGGUAGGGGUUCUGAGAGGAAGGUCCCCCACACUGGAACUGAGACACGGUCCAGACUCCUACGGGAGGCAGCAGUGAGGAAUAUUGGUCAAGGGGCGUAAGCCUGAACCAGCCAAGUAGCGUGCAGGAUGACGGCCCUAUGGGUUGUAAACUGCUUUUAUGCGGGGAUAAAGUGGCCCACGGGUGGGCUUUUGCAGGUACCGCAUGAAUAAGGACCGGCUAAUUCCGUG